CCCUUAGAUGUUCUGGGCCGCACGCGCGCUACACUGAUGCAUUCAACGAGUCUAAAACCCGGUCUGAGAGGGCUGGGUAAUCUUUUGAAAGUGCAUCGUGAUUGGGAUAGAUGAUUGCAAUUCUUCAUCUUCAACGAGGAAUGCCUAGUAAACGCAAGUCAUCAGCUUGCAUUGAUUACGUCCCUGCCCUUUGUACACACCGCCCGUCGCUCCUACCGAUUGAACGAUCCGAUGAAAACUGUGGAUUGAGAGUCUGAGUGGGUUCGCCUACCUCAACUUUCGAGAAGCGGUUUAAAUCUUAUCGUUUAGAGGAAGGAGAAGUCGUAACA
Molecule: ribosomal RNA, 329 nt
Filed under: uncultured eukaryote
Lineage: Eukaryota
Description: partial 18S ribosomal RNA
Rfam family: Eukaryotic small subunit ribosomal RNA
Source: RNAcentral